RNAcentral lists this transfer RNA (75 nucleotides) under Actinoplanes sp. NBRC 103695. Its description in RNAcentral is "tRNA-Lys". Lineage: Bacteria; Bacillati; Actinomycetota; Actinomycetes; Micromonosporales; Micromonosporaceae. The record is from RNAcentral.
GCCGGGCGUCGGCAGGGCCUCGGCUCAGAGGACCUUUGAUCCUCAGGCUCGGGGUUCGAGUCCCUGGCGGGGCAC